This 467-nucleotide ribosomal RNA is filed under the name uncultured bacterium. RNAcentral describes it as "partial 16S ribosomal RNA". It matches the Rfam family "Bacterial small subunit ribosomal RNA", at positions 28 to 506 of the family's 1533-position model. The record is from RNAcentral.
GACGAACGCUGGCGGCGUGCUUAACACAUGCAAGUCGAACGGAAAGGCCCUGCUUUUGUGGGGUGCUCGAGUGGCGAAAGGGUGAGUAACACGUGAGUAACCUGCCCUUGACUUUGGGAUAACUUCAGGAAACUGGGGCUAAUACCGGAUAGGAGCUCCUGCUGCAUGGUGGGGGUUGGAAAGUUUCGGCGGUUGGGGAUGGACUCGCGGCUUAUCAGCUUGUUGGCGGGGUAGUGGCUUACCAAGGCUUUGACGGGUAGCCGGCCUGAGAGGGUGACCGGCCACAUUGGGACUGAGAUACGGCCCAGACUCCUACGGGAGGCAGCAGUGGGGAAUAUUGCACAAUGGGCGGAAGCCUGAUGCAGCAACGCCGCGUGCGGGAUGACGGCCUUCGGGUUGUAAACCGCUUUCGCCUGUGACGAAGCGUGAGUGACGGUAAUGGGUAAAGAAGCACCGGCUAACUACGU